GUGGGCGUAGGAAAUUUGAGAGGAGCUGUCCUUAGUACGAGAGGACCGGGAUGGACCAACCUCUGGUGCACCAGUUGUUCCGCCAGGAGCACAGCUGGGUAGCUAUGUUGGGAAGGGAUAAACGCUGAAAGCAUCUAAGCGUGAAGCCUACCUCAAGAUUAGAUUUCCCAUAGCGUAAGCUAGUAAGACCCCUGAAAGACUAUCAGGUUGAUAGGUUGGAGGUGUAAGUACAGUAAUGUAUUCAGCUGAACAAUACUAAUAGGUCGAGGGCUUGAUCAAAUU
Molecule: ribosomal RNA, 282 nt
Filed under: Clostridium botulinum D/C
Lineage: Bacteria; Bacillati; Bacillota; Clostridia; Eubacteriales; Clostridiaceae
Description: partial 23S ribosomal RNA
Rfam family: Bacterial large subunit ribosomal RNA
Source: RNAcentral